Molecule: long non-coding RNA, 621 nt
Organism: Neogale vison (American mink)
Lineage: Eukaryota; Metazoa; Chordata; Mammalia; Carnivora; Mustelidae
Exons: 4
Source: RefSeq, a predicted model, not a curated record
GGCGCGCUGAGGAGGCGGCUCUGGCCCAGGUCGUCGCAGCAGCACAGGAGGCUGUAGCACAGACACUGACGGAUCUCGCCCCCACCCGGUCUUCCUAAGAUCUUCUCAACGACGAGAGGGAUCCUUCUGUUGAAAGCCCUCUGUGGCUUCUCAGCUCAUCCAGAGAGGUUCCACCCCAGGGGCCAAAGAAUUGUCAACGUGAACAAGCGACUACAGAGUGGGCAGCACACAUUCCCAGUGGUGCGCAUGGCAGGUGAUAGGGGGCCGGCUGCUCAGCCCGGCACCUCUCCCUGCUUCCUGCAGCACCCGAUGCCUCCGACUACCAAGCUUUUGGUGAUCCUCUCCAACAGCGGUUCCUGUUUCCAGUGUUGGGUUGAAGUUUCUCAGCUCUGCGGUGCCAGACGCAGUGGUAUUGUAAGCAAUGCAAUCUGUGCGACAGAGGGGUUCUGAAAGAACCUUGAACUUCUCCAACACGAAGCACUCGGGUGGUGGCUCUGAGCUAAUCUCUGUGUGCCAAAGCGGCUGCCCCUGCAAGUCUGAGUCUUCAGCUCUGACAGCUCUCACUUGUGGACCCUGCAGGCAGCGAGCGGCAGGCAAGUGAACAGUUUGAGAAGGUCAGCU